RNAcentral lists this ribosomal RNA (468 nucleotides) under uncultured delta proteobacterium. RNAcentral describes it as "bacterial SSU rRNA". It matches the Rfam family "Bacterial small subunit ribosomal RNA", at positions 916 to 1381 of the family's 1533-position model. The record is from RNAcentral. Lineage: Bacteria; Deltaproteobacteria.
ACGGGGCCCGCACAAGCGGUGGAGCAUGUGGUUUAAUUCGAUGCAACGCGAAGAACCUUACCUGGGCUUGACAUCCCGGGAAUCCCCUGGAAACAGGGGAGUGCCCUUCGGGAACCCGGUGACAGGUGCUGCAUGGCUGUCGUCAGCUCGUGUCGUGAGAUGUUGGGUUAAGUCCCGCAACGAGCGCAACCCUUGUCUUUAAUUGCCAUCAUUUAGUUGGGGCACUUUAAAGAGACUGCCGGUGUUAAGCCGGAGGAAGUGGGGAUGACGUCAAGUCCUCAUGGCCUUUAUGCCCAGGGCUACACACGUGCUACAAUGGCCGGUACAAAGGGCUGCAAUACCGCAAGGUGGAGCGAACCCCAAAAAGCCGGUCUCAGUUCGGAUUGCAGGCUGCAAUUCGCCUGCAUGAAGUCGGAAUCGCUAGUAAUCGCAGGUCAGCAUACUGCGGUGAAUACGUUCCCGGGCCUU